Molecule: small nuclear RNA, 164 nt
Organism: Otolemur garnettii (small-eared galago)
Lineage: Eukaryota; Metazoa; Chordata; Mammalia; Primates; Galagidae
Gene: U1
Rfam family: U1 spliceosomal RNA
About the family: U1 is a small nuclear RNA (snRNA) component of the spliceosome (involved in pre-mRNA splicing).
Source: Ensembl
AUACUUACCUGGCAGGGGAGAUACCAUGAUCACGAAGGUGGUUUUCCCAGGGCGAGGCUUAUCCAUUGCACUCCGGAUGUGCUGACCCCUGCGAUUUCCCCAAAUGUGGGAAACUCGACUGCAUAAUUUGUGGUAGUGGGGGACUGUGUUCACGCUCUCCCCUG